GCCGGCAUAGCUCAGUUGGUAGAGCAACCGCCUUGUAAGCGGUAGGUCGCGAGUUCGAGUCCCGCUGCCGGCACCA
Molecule: transfer RNA, 76 nt
Filed under: Acinetobacter baumannii
Lineage: Bacteria; Pseudomonadati; Pseudomonadota; Gammaproteobacteria; Moraxellales; Moraxellaceae
Also listed under: 7 other names
Description: tRNA-Thr
Rfam family: tRNA
About the family: Transfer RNA (tRNA) molecules are approximately 80 nucleotides in length. Their secondary structure includes four short double-helical elements and three loops (D, anti-codon, and T loops).
Source: RNAcentral